UACUAUUAUAGAUAGCGAUAAACUGUAAACAGCAAUAAUGUUCAGCAAAGUAAGAUCUACAAAUAAGUCAACAUGACCUAAAUGGUCAAUUGACCCCUUAAGGAGUUAUUGCCCUUUAUAGUCAAUUUUUAACAAUUUUCCAUUAAUUUGGUAAAUUUAUGUAAAUUUUUACCAAUAUAGUUUCUCUGUUACUAAUGGGCAAAGUUCAUGAUAGAUAUAAUUGUAAGAAGCAAAAUCGUUCAGUAAAGUAAGAACUUCAAACACAUCACCAUCAC
This 275-nucleotide long non-coding RNA is filed under the name Mytilus galloprovincialis (Mediterranean mussel). Lineage: Eukaryota; Metazoa; Mollusca; Bivalvia; Mytilida; Mytilidae. The record is from RNAcentral.